UGGGGAUGACGUCAAGUCAUUCAUGGCCCUUACGGCCAGGGCUACACACGUGCUACAAUGGUCGGUACAAAGGGUUGCCAAGCCGCGAGGUGGAGCUAAUCCCAAUAAACCGAUCGUAGUCCGGAUCGCAGUCUGCAACUCGACUGCGUGAAGUCGGAAUCGCUAGUAAUCGUGAAUCAGAAUGUCACGGUGAAUACGUUCCCGGGCCUU
RNAcentral lists this ribosomal RNA (210 nucleotides) under uncultured Pseudomonas sp. RNAcentral's name for it is "partial 16S ribosomal RNA". It matches the Rfam family "Bacterial small subunit ribosomal RNA", at positions 1174 to 1382 of the family's 1533-position model. Lineage: Bacteria; Pseudomonadati; Pseudomonadota; Gammaproteobacteria; Pseudomonadales; Pseudomonadaceae. The record is from RNAcentral.